Molecule: long non-coding RNA, 393 nt
Filed under: Triticum aestivum (bread wheat)
Lineage: Eukaryota; Viridiplantae; Streptophyta; Magnoliopsida; Poales; Poaceae
Description: long non-coding RNA (TAES_LNC015221)
Source: RNAcentral
UUCUAUAUUUGGAAACGUCUGUGGCUCCCCACAGAAUACAAAUUAGUAAAGAGAUUGCAGGAAUUCAAAAGUACCUGUAUUUCCAAAAAAAAUGCACUAAACUUGAUUUAAAGGUGAGAUUUCAAUAAUAUGUGUCAAAUACAUAUGACGAGAAUAUCAAGGUAUGAUGUUCUUGUAACUCACGUUCAACUUUUAUCAAUUAUUUAACACUUUAUAUUGGAUAACAUGAGUGUAAGAAUUAUUACCAUUUGAGCUUUUGCAUAAAGUUAGAGAUUGAGGUGUGCACAUUUUUACUGAAUAAGAAGCUGAAACUAAUAUAACUUUUUGUAGGAGAAAACAAAUAUUACAUCAACCGAAAAAAUAGAAUAAGAUACAAAUUCACGUUUUCCUUAC